ACUCAAUUUGCUUAGUCUUUUUUCUUUAAAACUUUCUUCCAUUGAAAUAAGGAAUGAUCUCAUCUGUUUUUAUAA
Molecule: long non-coding RNA, 75 nt
Organism: Xiphophorus hellerii (green swordtail)
Lineage: Eukaryota; Metazoa; Chordata; Actinopteri; Cyprinodontiformes; Poeciliidae
Exons: 3
Source: RefSeq, a predicted model, not a curated record